GCCUAACACAUGCAAGUCGAACGCGAAAGGCAGUAAUGUCGAGUAGAGUGGCGCACGGGUGAGUAACACGUAAAUAAUCUAUAAUAAUCACUGGGAUAACCGUUCGAAAGGAUGGCUAAUACUGGAUAAGCUCACGAUACGAGAGUGUUGAGAGAAAAGGAUUGGGACCUAAAGGCCAAUCGGAUUGAGAAGAGUUUGCGUCCCAUCAGGUAGUUGGCGGGGUAAGAGCCCACCAAGCCGAAGACGGGUAGCUGGUCUGAGAGGAUGAUCAGCCACACUGGAACUGAGACACGGUCCAGACUCCUACGGGAGGCAGCAGUGGGGAAUCUUGCGCAAUGGACGAAAGUCUGACGCAGCAACGCCGCGUGGGUGAUGAAGGUCUUCGGAUCGUAAAGCCCUGUCGGAAGAGAAAAUGGUUUUGUAUAAUAAUAAGAUAUGAAAUUGAUGGUAUCUUUAAAGGAAGCACCGGCUAACUCUGUGCCAGCAG
Molecule: ribosomal RNA, 487 nt
Filed under: uncultured bacterium
Lineage: Bacteria
Description: bacterial SSU rRNA
Rfam family: Bacterial small subunit ribosomal RNA
Source: RNAcentral